CAUGCAAGUCGAGCGGUAACAUUUCUAGCUUGCUAGAAGAUGACGAGCGGCGGACGGGUGAGUAACGCGUGGGAAUCUGCCUGGUAGUGGGGGACAACAGUCGGAAACGACUGCUAAUACCGCAUACGCCCUUCGGGGGAAAGUGGGGGAUCUUCGGACCUCACGCUAUCAGAUGAGCCCGCGUCGGAUUAGCUUGUUGGUGAGGUAAAGGCUCACCAAGGCGAUGAUCCGUAGCUGGUCUGAGAGGAUGAUCAGCCACACUGGGACUGAGACACGGCCCAGACUCCUACGGGAGGCAGCAGUGGGGAAUAUUGGACAAUGGGGGCAACCCUGAUCCAGCCAUGCCGCGUGUGUGAAGAAGGCCUUCGGGUUGUAAAGCACUUUCAGCAGUGAGGAAAGGUGUGUCGUUAAUACCGGCAUGCUGUGACGUUAACUGCAGAAGAAGGACCGGCUAACUCCGUGCCAGCAGCCGCGGUAAUACGGAGGGUCCGAGCGUUAAUCGGAAUUACUGGGCGUAAAGCGCGCGUAGGUGGUUCAGUCAGUCAGAUGUGAAAGCCCCGGGCUCAACCUGGGAAUUGCACCUGAUACUGCUGAGCUAGAGUACGGUAGAGGGUAGUGGAAUUUCCGGUGUAGCGGUGAAAUGCGUAGAGAUCGGAAGGAACACCAGUGGCGAAGGCGACUACCUGGACCGAUACUGACACUGAGGUGCGAAAGCGUGGGUAGCAAACAGGAUUAGAUACCCUGGUAGUCCACGCCGUAAACGAUGUCAACUAGCCGUUGGGGGACUUGAUCCUUUAGUGGCGCAGCUAACGCGAUAAGUUGACCGCCUGGGGAGUACGGCCGCAAGGUUAAAACUCAAAUGAAUUGACGGGGGCCCGCACAAGCGGUGGAGCAUGUGGUUUAAUUCGAAGCAACGCGAAGAACCUUACCUACUCUUGACAUCCUGCGAACUUGGUAGAGAUACCUUGGUGCCUUCGGGAACGCAGUGACAGGUGCUGCAUGGCUGUCGUCAGCUCGUGUUGUGAAAUGUUGGGUUAAGUCCCGUAACGAGCGCAACCCCUAUCCUUAUUUGCCAGCACUUCGGGUGGGAACUCUAAGGAGACUGCCGGUGACAAACCGGAGGAAGGUGGGGAUGACGUCAAGUCAUCAUGGCCCUUACGAGUAGGGCUACACACGUGCUACAAUGGCCGGUACAGAGGGCCGCAAACUCGCGAGAGUAAGCUAAUCUCAGAAAACCGGUCGUAGUCCGGAUCGCAGUCUGCAACUCGACUGCGUGAAGUCGGAAUCGCUAGUAAUCGCGAAUCAGAAUGUCGCGGUGAAUACGUUCCCGGGCCUUGUACACACCGCCCGUCACACCAUGGGAGUGGGUUGCACCAGAAGUAGCUAGUCUAACCUUCGGGAGGACGGUACC
This 1411-nucleotide ribosomal RNA is filed under the name Marinobacterium maritimum. RNAcentral's name for it is "16S ribosomal RNA". It matches the Rfam family "Bacterial small subunit ribosomal RNA". The record is from RNAcentral. Lineage: Bacteria; Pseudomonadati; Pseudomonadota; Gammaproteobacteria; Oceanospirillales; Oceanospirillaceae.